RNAcentral lists this antisense RNA (154 nucleotides) under Leclercia adecarboxylata. RNAcentral's name for it is "sok antitoxin (CssrC)". It matches the Rfam family "sok antitoxin (CssrC)". From Rfam's summary of the family: Also identified in Shigella as CssrC. The record is from RNAcentral. Lineage: Bacteria; Pseudomonadati; Pseudomonadota; Gammaproteobacteria; Enterobacterales; Enterobacteriaceae.
GGGUGCCUGAUGCUUUCUGAGCGCAGGCAGGUGUGGUGGGCCAGAAAGCAAAUGCCCCGGAGAUGUUUCCAUCAACCGGGGCUACCACAACCAAACCUGAACAAUUUGGAUGGUAGCCCCUUCUUAGCAAGGAGGCAAUGACAUGCUUAACAAG